CUUGACGGAGCCGAGCCACAGCGGCCGGUCCGCGGGCCGGUCCCGCCCGUACGUGGCGAGCAGCGCCUGCGCCUC
Non-coding RNA from Micromonospora echinofusca, 75 nucleotides. It matches the Rfam family "ASpks TB sRNA". NCBI's taxonomy places the organism in Bacteria, Bacillati, Actinomycetota, Actinomycetes, Micromonosporales, Micromonosporaceae. The record is from Rfam.